GGGCUUCUCCUUCGGGAGCAGAGUGACAGGWGGUGCAUGGUUGUCGUCAGCUCGUGUCGUGAGAUGUUGGGUUAAGUCCCGCAACGAGCGCAACCCUUGAUCUUAGUUGCCAUCAUUAAGUUGGGCACUCUAAGGUGACUGCCGGUGACAAACCGGAGGAAGGUGGGGAUGACGUCAAAUCAUCAUGCCCCUUAUGACCUGGGCUACACACGUGCUACAAUGGACGGWACAAAGAGCUGCRAGACCGCGAGGUGGAGCUAAUCUCAUAAAACCGUUCUCAGUUCGGAUUGUAGGCUGCAACUCGCCUACAUGAAGCUGGAAUCGCUAGUAAUCGCGGAUCAGCAUGCCGMGGWGAAUACGUUCCCGGGUCUUGUACACACC
RNAcentral lists this ribosomal RNA (381 nucleotides) under Bacillus marcorestinctum. RNAcentral describes it as "bacterial SSU rRNA". The record is from RNAcentral. Lineage: Bacteria; Bacillati; Bacillota; Bacilli; Caryophanales; Bacillaceae.